GUGGGGAAUAUUGGACAAUGGGCGAAAGCCUGAUCCAGCCACGCCGCGUGUGUGAUGAAGGCCCUCGGGUCGUAAAGCACUGUGGAGAGGGACGAACAAGCAUCGGGAACAAUACCUCGGUGCCCUGACGGUACCUCUUUAGCAAGCACCGGCUAACUCCGUGCCAGCAGCCGCGGUAAUACGGAGGGUGCAAACGUUGCUCGGAAUCAUUGGGCGUAAAGCGCGUGUAGGCGGCGCGUUAAGUCGAGUGUGAAAGCCCUGGGCUUAACCCAGGAAGCGCGCUCGAAACUGGCGUGCUAGAGUACGGGAGAGGGUAGCGGAAUUCCCGGUGUAGAGGUGAAAUUCGUAGAUAUCGGGAGGAACACCAGUGGCGAAGGCGGCUAUCUGGACCGAUACUGACGCUGAGACGCGAAAGCGUGGGUAGCAAACAGGAUUAGAAACCCCUGUAGUCC
This 452-nucleotide ribosomal RNA is filed under the name uncultured bacterium. RNAcentral's name for it is "bacterial SSU rRNA". It matches the Rfam family "Bacterial small subunit ribosomal RNA", at positions 354 to 796 of the family's 1533-position model. The record is from RNAcentral.